CAGUCGCCGCGGUAAUACGGAGGGGGCUAGCGUUGUUCGGAAUUACUGGGCGUAAAGCGCACGUAGGCGGCUUGGUAAGUUAGAGGUGAAAGCCCGGAGCUCAACUCCGGAAUUGCCUUUAAGACUGCCGAGCUAGCAGGUGAGAGAGGUAAGUGGAAUUCCGAGUGUAGAGGUGAAAUUCGUAGAUAUUCGGAAGAACACCAGUGGCGAAGGCGGCUUACUGGCUCAUACUGGACGCUGAGGUGCGAAAGCGUGGGGAGCAAACAGGAUUAGAUACCCCUGUAGUCCCUGUCUCUUAUAC
RNAcentral lists this ribosomal RNA (301 nucleotides) under uncultured bacterium. Its description in RNAcentral is "partial 16S ribosomal RNA". It matches the Rfam family "Bacterial small subunit ribosomal RNA", at positions 509 to 807 of the family's 1533-position model. The record is from RNAcentral.